Long non-coding RNA from Suricata suricatta (meerkat), 304 nucleotides. RefSeq lists it as uncharacterized. Lineage: Eukaryota; Metazoa; Chordata; Mammalia; Carnivora; Herpestidae. The transcript is spliced from 3 exons. The record is from RefSeq and is a predicted model, not a curated record.
GGGGGCCGGCGGCGGCUUUGUUGGCGGCCGCUCGGGAGCAACCUUGAGCGCGGGCGCUGCGACAGUGAUUUAGGUGCUGGCAUUGGAGCGUGAAGGUAAAUGGCCACAUUUCACCGUCAGAAGCUAUGUGAACUUCAGCCUGUCCCCAACUCUUUGGAGCCCAGUUUCUGAGGAUGGAGUGAGGAAAAUGUUAAGUGCUGGCCCCACCCUGGCUCCUGGAAGCUGCUCAGGUCUGAGUUCAGCAAGCCCAGCCCCAUCUCCUCUCAAGGCUCCGCCCUGAAGAGCUCAGCAAGCCCCGCCCCUG